GGAUGCGAUCAUACCAGCACUAAUGCACCGGAUCCCAUCAGAACUCCGAAGUCAAGUGUGCUUGGGCGAGAGUAGUACUAGGAUGAGUGACCCCCUGGGAAGUCCUCGUGUUGCAUCCC
Ipomoea nil (Japanese morning glory) is the source of this 119-nucleotide ribosomal RNA. Lineage: Eukaryota; Viridiplantae; Streptophyta; Magnoliopsida; Solanales; Convolvulaceae. The record is from Rfam.